Gossypium raimondii (Peruvian cotton) is the source of this 2955-nucleotide RNA transcript. It is a transcript of the gene named MA3 DOMAIN-CONTAINING TRANSLATION REGULATORY FACTOR 2, with no coding region annotated. Lineage: Eukaryota; Viridiplantae; Streptophyta; Magnoliopsida; Malvales; Malvaceae. The record is from RefSeq and is a predicted model, not a curated record. The transcript is spliced from 7 exons.
CUUCAACGUCUUUUUUGCAACCGAUUCUCUUCUUUUUGAACUAAAACCUGAAAAAUCACUUAAAAAAAAAGCACACACACGAGAAUUAAAAUUACUUAACAAAAAAAAUUCUUUAAAAAAAAAAAGGAGAAUCGGACCGCCGGUGUGAUACGUCGCUCCGGCGAAAGGUAGUCAUAUUCGAUAGUCAUCUCAAAUCCGGAUAAUAUAAGAGAUACUCCAUUCCAGAACUUGAUGAAGUGGAUCGAGAUAUUAAAAGAUGCAUGUGAGAUAAUGAAACAUCGAUAUUGCUGUAGGAUGUGGUUGGUACCUAUGAAAGUGUGAUAGGCAGUGAUCCUAGCACUCUGAUUUCCAAUCUCUUUUAGUCUAUGCAGUUUAAUGGUGGGUUAUGCUCUUAAACUUGAAGGAAUAAGUGGAAAGUGGUGAGUAGAAUCGGAUAAAAUGAACGUCACUGGUGGUUUUAUAUCAGAUGAACGCCGGGAGAUUGUCCAAUCUGCUUCAGGGAGUGACAUUUCUUCAAAAUCUCCAAGGUCAACACAGGUCCAUGGCAAAGGAAGUCCCGUUAACCAUGAUAGGCAGUCACGUUCCCCAAUAGAUGGUCGUCCUAAGAAAGGUGGUUGUGGUGGUAAAGGAACUUGGGGAGGGUUACUCGAUACUGAUUCCAGUUAUGCUCUUGACCCAAAUGACCCAAACUACGAUAGCAGUGAGGAAUAUGGACAUCCAAAUGCAAGAAAAUCAGCACCUGAUUUUGAUGCGUUUAAAAAGAAGGCGACAAUAAUAGUGGAGGAAUACUUUGCUACUGAUGAUGUUGACUCAGCUACCAAUGAAUUAAAAGAACUUGCAAUGCCCAGCUACAACUAUUACUUUGUAAAAAAGCUGGUCUCUAUGGCUAUGGAUAGGCAUGACCAUGAAAAAGAAAUGGCUGCUGUUCUAUUAUCUGCACUCUAUGCUGAUGUAAUUGAUGCCCCACAGGUUUACAGAGGCUUUAGUAAACUGGUGGAAUCUGCAGAUGAUCUGAUUGUAGAUAUACCGGAUACAGUUGAUAUUCUUGCAUUGUUUAUAGCUCGAGCUGUGGUUGAUGACAUACUCCCUCCUGCAUUCCUUAAAAAACAAAUAGCACUCUUACCUAAUGAUUCAAAGGGGGUGGAAGUCUUGGAAAGAGCUGAGAAAGGGUAUCUAGCAGCUCCUAUGCAUGCAGAAAUUAUUGAGCGUCGCUGGAGGGUUAGCAAGAAAACAGUUGAGGAUGUAAAGGCAAGGAUAAACAACUUGUUGAUAGAGUAUGUAACGAGUGGUGACAAGAAAGAGGCUUAUAGAUGCAUCAAGGAUUUGAAAGUUCCUUUCUUCCACCAUGAAAUAGUUAAACGAGCACUUGUUAUGGCAAUGGAAAGGCGACAAGCUGAAGAUAGACUACUGGAUCUACUCAAGGAAGUAGCUGAAGAAGGUCUGAUAAACUCAAGUCAAAUUACAAAGGGAUUUGAUAGGAUGAUUGACACAAUUGAGGAUUUGUCCCUUGACAUACCAAAUGCACAGAGGAUACUGAAGUCUUUGAUUUCUAAGGCUACAUCUGAUGGAUGGUUGUGUGCUUCAUCUUUAAGGUCUUUAUCAUUGGAGCCCAGAAAAAAAUUAUUGGAAGACAAUUUUACUAGAACUUUCAAGUUGAAGUCUCAAUCAAUUGUUCAAGAAUAUUUUUUGACUGGUGAUAUCUCGGAGGUUUUUAGUUGUCUAGAAGCAGAGAAUAGAACUUCCUCAGGUGAACUGAAUGCUAUCUUUAUUAAAAGGUUGAUAACUUUAGCAAUGGAUCGGAAGAACAGGGAGAAAGAAAUGGCUUCUGUUUUGCUAUCAUCAUUAUGUUUUCCUGCAGAUGAUGUAGUAAAUGGGUUUGUGAUGUUGAUAGAAUCUGCCGAUGACACUGCUCUAGAUAAUCCAGUUGUUGUUGAGGAUCUUGCUAUGUUUUUGGCUAGAGCAGUGGUAGAUGAAGUUUUAGCCCCACAACACCUAGAAGAGGUCGGUAGCCAAUUUCUGGGGACGGACUCUAUUGGGGGCAAAGUGCUUCAAAUGGCAAAGUCAUUGCUAAAGGCUCGACUUUCAGGAGAGCGCAUCUUGAGGUGUUGGGGUGGUGGUGGUAGCAGUAGGCCGGGAUGGGCUGUUGAAGAUGUGAAACACAAAAUAGGAAAGCUGUUAGAGGAAUAUGAAUCCGGAGGAGACAUUAGGGAAGCUUAUCGAUGCAUAAAGGAGUUAGGCAUGCCAUUCUUCCACCACGAGGUUGUAAAGAAAGCAAUGGUGAUGGUUAUGGAGAAAAAGAAUGAUAGACUUUGGGGUUUGCUUGCACAUUGUUUUGGCUCAGGGCUCAUAACCAUGAACCAGAUGACAAAGGGUUUCUCAAGGGUAGAAGAAUCACUUGAUGACUUGGCUCUUGAUGUGCCUGAUGCCCGAAAACAGUUUCUAGCAUAUGUUGAAAAAGCAAAGACUACCGGAUGGUUGGAUUCAUCAUUUCAUUAUGGCAAUUCCAUAAACGGUAAAGAGAAUGGGGCCUGCCAAUAAUAACGAGUUUACAGGGAAGUUGAGUUCCUUCUAGCUGUGCCCUGGUAUUGCAGAGAAUAACUUCUGUAGUUAUGUUCCUGGUACUUCAGUUUCUGCUCAACUCCAAGACCCAACAUGUCAAAUUCCACCAAAUGAAUGUUGGAGAUUGUUAUCACAUUCAGAAUCCCAUUUUUGUUGCAUUGCAUUGAAAGAGCUGACCUUCGGGAAUCUGCUCAUUUUCAGUGCAAAAAUAACUCUAGAACUUGGACUUGCUACUCUGGAACAGUUUCUUUAUUUUUGUUUUUGGGUUGUCCUAUAAUUUGUUAAUCUUAUUUAUUUAGGUAGAUCAAUUUUUAUGUUAUUUCAUUUUGUUUAGCAAGAUCUGACUUGAUUUGUACGGCAAACUAUAAUUUUAUUAUUUGAUUUCUUUUACAAUAA